UACGAAGGGGGCUAGCGUUGUUCGGAUUUACUGGGCGUAAAGGGUGCGUAGGCGGGUCUUUUAAGUCAGGGGUGAAAUCCUGGAACUCAACUCCAGAACUGCCUUUGAUACUGAAGAUCUUGAGUUCGGGAGAGGUGAGUGGAACUGCGAGUGUAGAGGUGAAAUUCGUAGAUAUUCGCAAGAACACCAGUGGCGAAGGUGGCGAUCUGGGAAGAUACUGACGUCUGGAGGUAGCGUGGAAACAG
This 245-nucleotide ribosomal RNA is filed under the name uncultured bacterium. Its description in RNAcentral is "partial 16S ribosomal RNA". It matches the Rfam family "Bacterial small subunit ribosomal RNA", at positions 524 to 762 of the family's 1533-position model. The record is from RNAcentral.